Molecule: small nucleolar RNA, 184 nt
Filed under: Gallus gallus (chicken)
Lineage: Eukaryota; Metazoa; Chordata; Aves; Galliformes; Phasianidae
Description: GGN43 snoRNA
Rfam family: Small nucleolar RNA SNORA23
About the family: The members of this family belong to the H/ACA class of snoRNAs which are thought to guide the sites of modification of uridines to pseudouridines. This family includes human snoRNA ACA23 (SNORA23) and mouse snoMBI-1.
Source: RNAcentral
CUGCAGUACUGUGUGCAUAGUUGUUCAUCUGUGUCUGGUGGUAUAGUCUAUUUGUGUUCUACAUUUAGACUGUACUACUCACACAAAACCUGUGGCCAAAGAUGAACUUGAGAUCAUAGUACUGGUCUAGUGACGUCUGAAUGACAUGCCUCCCACUGGCCAGCCUCCAUACUCUCAAACAUCU